AUUCCAGCUCCAAUAGCGUAUAUUAAAGUUGUUGCAGUUAAAAAGCUCGUAGUUGAAGUUCUGGCUGAUCGAUCCUCGAGCUCUGUAGCCGAGGACUCGUCAGUCAUCCGCUUGCAAAUAUAUGUUCGCCUUUAACCGGGUGGCUAUAUGAGUAAGCAAUUUACCUUGAGAAAAACAGAGUGUUCCAGGCAGGUUUGUCCGGAAUGCAUUAGCAUGGAAUAAUAGAAUAUGACUGAAGUCGAUUUAUUGGUUUGAGGCUUUAGUAAUGAUUAAUAGGAACAGUCGGGGGCAUUGGUACUUGUCAGUCAGAGGUGAAAUUCUAGGAUUUGACAAAGACUAACAAAUGCGAAAGCAUUUGCCAAGGAUGUUUUCAUCG
Molecule: ribosomal RNA, 376 nt
Filed under: Vorticella sp.
Lineage: Eukaryota; Ciliophora; Oligohymenophorea; Sessilida; Vorticellidae
Description: partial small subunit ribosomal RNA
Rfam family: Eukaryotic small subunit ribosomal RNA
Source: RNAcentral